Molecule: long non-coding RNA, 1314 nt
Organism: Malania oleifera
Lineage: Eukaryota; Viridiplantae; Streptophyta; Magnoliopsida; Santalales; Ximeniaceae
Exons: 4
Source: RefSeq, a predicted model, not a curated record
AGGGACUCUUAAGAAUUAAGAUUGCAACAGAAUGCGUAAAGCCAUAGAAGAGUCAUAUGAUCUUUGCUCGCUUACAGGAGAGUCGCUAUCUUCAAUUGUGGUCGAUUGCAUGCAUUGAUGGCGGAAUGUUCCUGGCACUGUCCAUAUCCCCACAACCAGCAAAACCCUAUCAGCGAUCAAGAAGAUGCCCAAUAGCUGACGAAGCUAUCCCUCUCAGCACUGCCUUUUUCCGGCUACUGCUGAAUUUCCCGGUCGUUUCUCGAUGCCUAUAGGUUCCAAAAGAACAUGUGACGGAAGAAGUUGCAUGGCUGCUUAAUGUUGCAGCACUUGCUUUGUAGCAUGAAGAUUCAGAUGUACACAGAUUGGGCAGGUUUGAGCUUUGCAAGCUUUCUUCAUGCCAUCGCCUUGGCAUAUUUCAUGCCAUGCCAUCACUUUGGCAUCUCUUUCUUCUUACCUGUGGUAUUUUUACUGAAGUGAUCAUAGCUUCAGGUAAAUGAAUUAUUAACAUGUUUGUUCUUGGAUUUUCUUUUGUGUGGAAUGACUUGCUGCUCAACCGUGGUUGAAAAUUUUAGGGAAUUGGUAUUAAUUGGGCAGCAUUUUGGACAUAUAUAAGCAAUCUUUAAUCUGUUUUCUCAUCAAAUAAUUGCACGCAAUGUUAAGAAAUAGAAAAUAAUUCAAAUGAUGCAAGUUGUUUGUUUACUUGUCCAGUGAUUUUACUUUACAUGGUAUGCAAGUGCAUAGCAACAGAUCUUGCUGCGCCACAUUGCAUGGAGCUGGACGCUUUCCUGCCACACUGAGAUGCAGAUGAAGGAAAUUUGGGGAGCGUGUUUGUUGAAUGAAAAUAUAUGGUUUGAUGAUCUUCAAAGUAAACAGUGUGAAGGCAAUGUGCAAAUGCAUGAAAUGGGAGUUUGUUGAAGAGGAUGAAUAGCUAUUCAUAUCACUGGCCGUGUCAGACCAAUACCAACCCCAACACUCUUACUGGUUGGUGAGAAGCAAAGAAGGUCCAUGGCUCAGCUUCCAACAGAUUCUGCAAGGUAUUGCAGUUGCCUUCUUCGUCCUAUAUUAUUAGUUAAUUGCCAAAAGCUUCUUUUUCAAAUUUAUGAAAGAGAUUAUUCCAUUUGUGAGCUCAGCUUGCACUUUAAAUAUUUUCUAAUCAAGUUGUACUAUUAUUCUUGUAUAGUUAUCAUUUUUAACUCAAAAUCUGAAACUUUCGGCAUUGAUCGAACCCUGAUUUGUUUGUAAGAACAUGAAAACUAAUGAUGGAUGAUAAUUAUUUCUAAAAUGGUUAAAUUAACGUACAACAUUUCAUUUUCA